GUGAAUCAUCGAAUCUUUGAACGCACCUUGCGCUCCUUGGUAUUCCGAGGAGCAUGCCCGUUUGAGUAUCGUGACAUCUUCAAACCCACGGCCUUCUUGGUUUGUGGGCUUUGGACUUGGGGGCUGCUGGUCUCUCGAGAUCGGCUCCUCUGAAAUGCAUUAGCUGGGCACAUCCGGCCAACAGCGGUGUGAUAGUUGAUCAUCGUUGGGCCCGAACCUGACCGGCUUCUAAUGACCCCGUCUUAUAUCACUUCGAUCUCAAAUCGGGUAGGACUACCCGCUGAACUUAAGCAUAUCAAUAAGCGGAGGA
Molecule: unclassified non-coding RNA, 310 nt
Filed under: fungal sp.
Lineage: Eukaryota; Fungi
Description: partial contains 5.8S ribosomal RNA, internal transcribed spacer 2, and large subunit ribosomal RNA
Rfam family: 5.8S ribosomal RNA (bases 1-71)
Source: RNAcentral